GCUCAACCGAGGAAGUGCUUCGAAAACUGGUAAACUUGAGUGCAGAAGAGGAAAGUGGAACUCCAUGUGUAGCGGUGGAAUGCGUAGAUAUAUGGAAGAACACCAGUGGCGAAGGCGGCUUUCUGGUCUGUAACUGACGCUGAGAUUCGAAAGCAUGGGUAGCGAACAGGAUUAGAUACCCUGGUAGUCCAUGCCGUAAACGAUGAGUGCUAAGUGUUGGAGGGUUUCCGCCCUUCAGUGCUGCAGCUAACGCAUUAAGCACUCCGCCUGGGGAGUACGAUCGCAAGAUUGAAACUCAAAGGAAUUGACGGGGGCCCGCACAAGCGGUGGAGCAUGUGGUUUAAUUCGAAGCAACGCGAAGAACCUUACCAGGUCUUGACAUACCAUGAAGAGCUAAGAGAUUAGUCUUUCCCUUCGGGGACAUGGAUACAGGUGGUGCAUGGUUGUCGUCAGCUCGUGUCGUGAGAUGUUGGGUUAAGUCCCGCAACGAGCGCAACCCUUAUUAUCAGUUGCCAGCAUUCAGUUGGGCACUCUGGUGAGACUGCCGGUGACAAACCGGAGGAAGGUGGGGACGACGUCAAAUCAUCAUGCCCCUUAUGACCUGGGCUACACACGUGCUACAAUGGAUGGUACAACG
This 637-nucleotide ribosomal RNA is filed under the name uncultured bacterium. RNAcentral describes it as "bacterial SSU rRNA". It matches the Rfam family "Bacterial small subunit ribosomal RNA", at positions 607 to 1244 of the family's 1533-position model. The record is from RNAcentral.